UUUCAUCUUCUUACAUGCCUGGGCUCUUUAUUUUCUGAAGCAGCCUUAAUUUGGUUUCAAUUAACAUGCAUUGAUCAGCUCAUGUCUUAAAUCAAUUUUUUGGUUUUGCCCUUUUGUCCAAUUGACAAUAUUAUUGUUUCAUUUGGUAACUUUCUUGAGAUAAACACAAUGGAGUUGUUCCUUUUUUUUUCUUUUUUUUUAUAACCGAGAAAUCCGUCUGUGACCCGCCCUUUGGACCAAUCACAGCCUUCUAAACCGCUUCUAAACUCGGUGGAUAAUGGGCCCGCCCCUCUACCCUUCUCCACUUAAAUACCGGGCUUCGCUUUGCAUGGUGUGGGGCUUGAACCUGCGACCUAAGCCAUAAAUCCUCCACCUUUUGCCACUUGAGCUAGGCCUUGGGGGCAAUGGAGUUGUUCCUUUUCUGACCCAGGUUGUCUCUCUUUUUGACCAUCUA
This 454-nucleotide long non-coding RNA is filed under the name Solanum tuberosum (potato). RNAcentral's name for it is "long non-coding RNA (STUB_LNC008230)". Lineage: Eukaryota; Viridiplantae; Streptophyta; Magnoliopsida; Solanales; Solanaceae. The record is from RNAcentral.